GAUGAACGCUGACAGAAUGCUUAACACAUGCAAGUCCACUUGAAUUUGGGUUUUUAACUUCGGUUUGGGUGGCGGACGGGUGAGUAACGCGUAAAGAACUUGCCUCACAGCUAGGGACAACAUUUGGAAACGAAUGCUAAUACCUAAUAUUAUGAUAAUAGGGCAUCCUAUAAUUAUGAAAGCUAUAAGCGCUGUGAGAGAGCUUUGCGUCCCAUUAGCUAGUUGGAGAGGUAACGGCUCACCAAGGCGAUGAUGGGUAGCCGGCCUGAGAGGGUGAUCGGCCACAAGGGGACUGAGACACGGCCCUUACUCCUACGGGAGGCAGCAGUGGGGAAUAUUGGACAAUGGACCAAGAGUCUGAUCCAGCAAUUCUAUGUGCACGAUGAAGUUUUUCGGAAUGUAAAGUGCUUUCAGUUGGGAAGAAAGAAAUGACGGUACCAACAGAAGAAGUGACGGCUAAAUACGUG
Molecule: ribosomal RNA, 467 nt
Filed under: uncultured bacterium
Lineage: Bacteria
Description: partial 16S ribosomal RNA
Rfam family: Bacterial small subunit ribosomal RNA
Source: RNAcentral